Lutra lutra (Eurasian river otter) is the source of this 1133-nucleotide long non-coding RNA. RefSeq lists it as uncharacterized. Lineage: Eukaryota; Metazoa; Chordata; Mammalia; Carnivora; Mustelidae. The transcript has 4 exons. The record is from RefSeq and is a predicted model, not a curated record.
GGCGCAGGAGCACGCGGGACGCGGGGCCGGAGCGUGUAGGGCCCGCAGCGUCCAGGGCCCGCCUCACGGGGGCGCCCAGCGCCUCUGAAGGGAAAGGACGGCUGAAGGGGGCGGGGCUCCCGGGACACGGACUCCGGCCGGAGUCGGGAGCGGCCGCUGUGAACGUCCAGCUCCACCCCAGGGGACGACAGGCACCCAGCUCAGAUCCUCGUCCCUCUUUCUUUGGAGUCCUCUUCUGUAACCUCGCACCACUGGGAGGCACCCUGCAAGAUGAGAGGAUGUAAAAUCUUACAUGUUACUGCCCGGCACAAAGGCAAAAAAUGAACUGAAACAGGUGCCCACGGGGAUACGAGGGCUCCCAUCCUCACAUUUUCCCAAAAGGCUAUGCCGUGCUCUACCCCAACCUUUGCACACCAACCAUUUAGAACAAAGAAAAAAAUAAACUGAGUAGAGUAGCUUGACUUUGAAGCAAACCUGGCAACAGGACUGGGGUUGACCUCUCUGCCACCAGGCGGAUCUUGAAUCGUUAUGCCCCUUGUCAUUUCAUGACAAACGAACUAAAAGUAAAGACUUGUCAUACUACACAACUCAGGGUGCUGUUUACCUGAAGAAUCUCUAACAAACUGAACGGGGGUGAGAGGGGAGUCAUUAUUAGCAGGAAUAAUGACACAUUUUUUCCUAACUUCAUCAGGGGCUCUCACAUAUUUCUUCAGGCUCCGCAGAUGGCUAACUCUAUCUCCUGUCCAAAAGUGGGGACUAAAGAUGAGCUGAUUCUUGCUAAGUCAGGUCUGAUGUGGAAGUACUUCAGAACACGGAAAGCAGCAAAACUGAAAAGCCCUGAAGAUUUCUUUACCUCCAGAAGAAUCUCUGCGAAUGGAACACACUGGACACGAAUAAUAACAUUUUCAGUCCAGUGAGAAAGUGACUCAUUCACUGAGGAGAAACCCUGGUAACGCUCACAAAGGUUCAGGAGAUCCUUCUCCCACCACGCCCACCAAGAAACACUGUCUGAGGGGCGCCUGGGGGGCUCAGUCCGUGAAGCGUCUGCCUUCAGAUCAGGUCCAUGAUCCCAGAGUCCUGGGAUCGAGCCCCGCAUCGGGCUCCCUGCCCAGCGGGGAGUCUGCUUCUCCCCC